GGACUACCAGGGUUUCUAAUCCUGUUUGCUACCCACGCUUUCGUGCCUCAGCGUCAGUUAUGGUCCAGAAAGCCGUUUACACCACCGGUGUUCCUCCUGAUAUCUACGCAUUUCACCGCUACACCAGGAAUUCCACUUUCCUCUCCCACACUCUAGUCCCGCAGUUUAUAGCGCACCCUCCCAGUUAAGCCGGGAGAUUUCACACCAUACUUACGGAACAGCCUACGCACCCUUUACGCCCAGUAACUCCGAACAACGCUUGCUGCCUACGUAUUACCGCGGCUGCUGGCAC
Molecule: ribosomal RNA, 292 nt
Filed under: uncultured Acidobacteriota bacterium
Lineage: Bacteria; Pseudomonadati; Acidobacteriota
Description: uncultured Acidobacteria bacterium partial 16S ribosomal RNA
Source: RNAcentral